UACGGAGGGUGCAAGCGUUAUCCGGAUUCACUGGGUUUAAAGCGUGCGCAGGCGGUUUUGUAAGCCAGAUGUGAAAGCCCCGGGCUCAACCUGGGAAUGGCAUUUGGGACUGCAAGGCUUGAGUGCGGCAGAGGAGACUGGAAUUCCUGGUGUAGCAGUGAAAUGCGUAGAUAUCAGGAGGAACACCGAUGGCGAAGGCAGGUCUCUGGGCUGACACUGACGCUCAUGCACGAAAGCGUGGGGAGCAAACAGG
This 253-nucleotide ribosomal RNA is filed under the name uncultured bacterium. RNAcentral's name for it is "partial 16S ribosomal RNA". It matches the Rfam family "Bacterial small subunit ribosomal RNA", at positions 524 to 776 of the family's 1533-position model. The record is from RNAcentral.